Molecule: ribosomal RNA, 510 nt
Filed under: uncultured bacterium
Lineage: Bacteria
Description: partial 16S ribosomal RNA
Rfam family: Bacterial small subunit ribosomal RNA
Source: RNAcentral
GACGAACGCUGGCGGCGUGCUUAACACAUGCAAGUCGAACGAAGAGCGAUGGAAGCUUGCUUCUAUCAAUCUUAGUGGCGAACGGGUGAGUAACGCGUAAUCAACCUGCCCUUCAGAGGGGGACAACAGUUGGAAACGACUGCUAAUACCGCAUACGAUCUAACCUCGGCAUCGAGGAUGGAUGAAAGGUGGCCUCUAUUUAUAAGCUAUCACUGAAGGAGGGGAUUGCGUCUGAUUAGCUAGUUGGAGGGGUAACGGCCCACCAAGGCGAUGAUCAGUAGCCGGUCUGAGAGGAUGAACGGCCACAUUGGGACUGAGACACGGCCCAGACUCCUACGGGAGGCAGCAGUGGGGAAUCUUCCGCAAUGGACGAAGGUCUGACGGAGCAACGCCGCGUGAGUGAUGACGGCCUUCGGGUUGUAAAGCUCUGUUAAUCGGGACGAAAGGCCUUCUUGCGAAUAGUUAGAAGGAUUGACGGUACCGGAAUAGAAAGCCACGGCUAACUACGUG